This 731-nucleotide long non-coding RNA is filed under the name Gossypium raimondii (Peruvian cotton). RNAcentral's name for it is "long non-coding RNA (GRAI_LNC007386)". Lineage: Eukaryota; Viridiplantae; Streptophyta; Magnoliopsida; Malvales; Malvaceae. The record is from RNAcentral.
CCUUUCAAUAAUAGUAUCAACAUUUGCUUUGCUUUUAGGACUAUGAAUGAGAACUCUUAUAACUGUGACUGCAAUUCGAUAUCAGAGUCAUCAAAAUUGUCCAUUAUAGUGAUUACCUGAAUCGUGAUUACCUGAAUAAUACAAGCUUGAACAAGUCAGAAUCAAAGAACAACCAAACCAGAUCAAGUGAAUCAAGCAAUGCAGAUGAAGCAUAUUCAUAUAUAAACUGUAUGUUCAGCCGUAGGCAAGUCCAAUUAACUUAGAAUGAAUGAAUUAUUAAAAAUUUUAUUGAAAACAGUAUAUAUAUAUAUAUAUAUAUAUAAACAAAAAAAAGAGUUUAAAUGAACAGUUUGAAUCAACAGAAAAGAAAAGCUAUGAUAAUUUUGAAGACUUUCAUGCCUAGAUAAAUUAAGUUGAAAAAAUAUAAUUUCAAGGCAAAGUAUUUCAAAGAUUACUACAAAGCAUAUCCUGUAACAACAAAUGCUUCAUCUAAAACAGUAAAUCAAAAUAAUAAAGCACCAAACUUGUAUACUGCCCACCAUUAUAAGUCACUAAAAGCAAGAAAAACAAAAAUGACUUAAUUCACGGAAUUCACGAAUGUUAACAUCAGACAUGAGUUUAAAACUUUUCCUUCGGAAGGAUGUUCAAAACUAGAAUCCACAAUAGAUCGAAGCAGCUCUGGUUUCAGCAGAAAGCCCCUGAAUCCCGAACUAUGAAUUCCAACAUACCCC